CUUUUCUAUAUAUUUCAUGUAUAAAAACUAAUUAUAUAUAUAUAUAUAUAUAUAUAUAUAUAAAUAUAUUAGUUUUUUUGUUUGUUUUUGUGGUGAUAAAUGGUCUCAUUUGUUCUGUGUUCAGUUGUGCGUCUUUAAUGGAUGUUUAUGUAUUUGAGACGCUCAAAUGUUAAUUAUUCUAAAGUUAUUUUUAAAACGCGGAGGUUUUUCUGUGGAUUUCUGUUCUGUUCCAUCAAAUCAUCUUCAACGUCAAGCACACGUGCAGAAGUUUUCAUUCCAGUAUAAAAUAAUCACACUCUGUCAUUUGGACAGAGAUCUGUUUGGUUUCCUUAAAAGCUCUCAGUCAUACACAGACUCUCAGAGCAGAUUUAAAACCAAUCGUCACAUUAGUUUUGUUGGGAGAAAUGUACGAAAUUUGUCAAGAACAUGUCUAGAUCAUAUUUCUCAUCACAUUUUUAGACCAUUAUUAUUUUUUGCAUUGGAAUUUAUUAUAUUAAUAUUUAUUAUAAUAAUAUAUUAUAAUACUUCACAAUGCAAAAAAAAAAACAAUUAUGGAAUUAUUUUAUAUAUAAUAAAAAUAUAUAAAAAAAGUAAUAUCAGCACUACGAAAUUGUAUAAUUAAAAUUAUGCAUUAUAAUGCUUUAUUGCAUUAUAUUCAUAACACAAUUUCUCAGUGCAGCUUUCAUCAGAUUCUCUCGUGUGGUUUGGAUGUUUGUCAUGUGGCUUCAGAACAGAAGUGUGCAAACAUCAAAGGAGUUUAUCAUCUGUCUGGUCUCAUCUCAACACUGAAACGCUGGAUUCCAGUCUGGUUUUACACAUGAAUUGGUCCAUUUUCAUUGGGUCAGUUUGAAUAUUCAGUCACUGCGGAGUAAAGAACCAAAUAUCCGACGUUUGAACUACAGCAGACGACUAAAGUGCCCUUAAUAUUCAGCUUUUAUGUGGAAAAGCUAGCGAGAACUUUGUACAUAUCAAAGAUCGGUUUAAUUAGCAUUGCUAUGUAAUGUGGGAGUUUGAACUGUAAAUACAUUUAGCAAUAAUAAAUAUUAAAAAUGUAUUUCAUUUGAUUCGUUGAAUGUUGAUGUGUAUUUUAGCAUUUAAGGAACUUAGCAACACCCUGGCAACCACAUGGAACAAUGUAACAACACAACAUCAUAGCAACGCUCUAACAACUAUAACACCAUAGUGACCACUUAGCAACACCAUAGCA
Cyprinus carpio carpio is the source of this 1207-nucleotide long non-coding RNA. NCBI's taxonomy places the organism in Eukaryota, Metazoa, Chordata, Actinopteri, Cypriniformes, Cyprinidae. The record is from Ensembl.